Long non-coding RNA from Cavia porcellus (domestic guinea pig), 10823 nucleotides. RefSeq lists it as uncharacterized. The transcript is spliced from 7 exons. The record is from RefSeq and is a predicted model, not a curated record. NCBI's taxonomy places the organism in Eukaryota, Metazoa, Chordata, Mammalia, Rodentia, Caviidae.
GUGCCAUAUGGAAGGAAGUGGAGGUUUUGCAGUGGAACUACUUGUUGACUGUCGAUAUAAGACAAUGUGGAGGACCUGGGUAUGGCGGCUUAGGCCUGUAAUCCCCGAUACUCUGGAAACUGAGGCAGGAGGAUCACAAAUGCAAGGCCAGCCUGCUCAAUUUAGUGAGACGCCGUCUCAGAGAAAAACCCAGAAAAGGCUAAGGAUGUAGUUCAUUGUAGAGCUUUCCUGGGUUCAAUACCUUCUAUUGCAAACAAAACAAAACAAAACAAACCCAAAAAAACAAAAACUUAAAAUGGAGAUUUGUGGUAUUUAAAUCCAACAUUGCUUUGGAGUUGUAUCUUUGCUUAAUAAUAUGCUAUUAAACCAGACAGGGAUUUGAUUAACACCAACAGCAGCAGUAACAACAGUAACAGUAACAAUAACAAUAACAAUAACAAUAACAAUAACAAUAACAAUAACAUAAAGAUCUUUGUGAAGGAAAAUCAGGCCAAACACAUAUUCCUGGAUCAGAGUAGCUGCAUGGAAUCAAAUCAACAGCCAGUCUUUGGUGAAAAGAGACUUUCGGCAAACAUGUUCCCUUAUAUUUUGUUGUUUGAGGAAGCAAGAUAUUGAGUAUUUUUUGUAUACUUCUUUGAGCCAGGCAAUGUUUUAAGUUCAUGAAAUUAACUGAAGGAUCUAGAGGUAAAUUCAUCACGAUUUCUUUUGAGGAGCUAAAAAGAGUUCAGUCGUAUGUCGCAGAAACAGAGCAGAUUAGUGGUAAAUUUAGAACUGAAACUACUGGUCAGCUUCCAAGUCCACGUUCCUAGCUGCUUGGCUGUUCCGUGAGUUCUGAUGCUUUCUAUCUAAGGCAGUUGUGUGCACCUGAUGAGAAACUUCUUCUCUCAAGUGCCGCAGUUACUCCAAAAGAGAGCAAACAAACCGGAAGUUCAAAGUGUGCGUCUCUGCUGGCAUAAAGAGAAAGGAAGAAGGGGCAGGCGAGAAGCUUCAGGUGUUAGGUGGAUCUUGCUGAAAUUUUCUAUUUGUUUAGCAUCGAUUUCUACCAGGUAAUGUGAACUGCGCUGCCCUCAGUCUCUAUGGAUUGCACCCCAUUUCCCUUACUGGGCUGUAAGCAAAUGGGAGGGAAUUCUUCUUCCUCUACCUUCUGUGCGCUAAGGAUCUGCCACACGUGCAUCUACUUGGCUGCUGCUGGCCAGCUGUGGCUUCCCAAGGCUGCCUGCAUUUCAGCCUCUGCCUGCCACGGCUGCGGGCUUUCCACCCACCCCUCUCCAGCCAGGUACAGGGAAUGUUCAUACCUUAGGUUUCGUUACCAAGUAACACACAGUUCCAUUUGCCAAUCGCCACCAUUUCCUUCUCAUAGUAUUACAGGCCUUAUUAUUAACAUUUAGUUCAGAGAAAUUGCUGUCAUUAUGUGAAGUAACUUCCUUUAGAGGUUAUUCAUUAACCUUAGGUAUUUUACUGCGUAAUUGUAAUUGCCAAGCGCCGCAGGCUUGGAAAACCUUUGAACUCCUUAAGGUAUUAGGGGACUGCAGAAAGGAUAUUAUCUGUUUUUUCUUCCUUUUCUAGUUAAGGUUUAAUUUUGAAGGUGUCCUGUGUCCCCUCUAGAGGUGUCUGGCUUCCCAAAGGUUAAACUGUUCCGUCCCCUUCCAGAUUGCUGACUGAAGCUGUAAGUGUUCGAUAUCCCCAACACUGCAGGGUGAAACUUGUUCCCCUUUGUCUUAAGAAAAACUCCCAGGGAACCAGAAGGCCCGGAGGUCGGUGAAUGAUUGGCAGGUGUACUUGUGUCUCUGGAGCACCGGAGGACCUUGCACAAUGCCUGGAGUUGUAUAUUGCGCACAGCCUUGUUGUGACACAGCGGAAAUCCUUCAUCCUGUUGCUCAGAUGAUUGUAUGAAAGCAAUUUUUCACUCUCAGGCUGCGUGAGCCAGGUGUGCGAUCCACAAUACGCCUACUCCACAGCCAUUCUCAGCGGCCAUGCUGGUACAAUGCCCCUUCUGAUCUGCCCCGCACGGUGUGGUUGCCAAGACUUUGGUCCUCCCCUGCGACAACUUCAGUCCUUCCGGCCUUCACCCAGACCCUGAGAAGUGGCCCCACAUUCCUGGUAACCCGACUCCCGAGACUGGCGGGGCGGGGCGGGUGCACGGAAGCCACGUGACUGCGCCCCGCGCACCGGGUGCAGAGACCCGGGGGACAGUUCUGGCUGGCCUUGAGCUCAUUUUGUAGGUCACACUGGUCUUGAACUUACAAAGAUCCUCUUGCCUCAGCCUCCCCAGUGCUGGGAUUACAGACUGGGCGCUCUGUGAAAGCGAGGACCUCAUCUGACUCCUUUGCCACUGAACCACAGCAUCCUGAAUAGUCCUUGGCGCUGAGUAGGCACACAGAUUUGUUGAAUUCAAGAAAUAAAAGCACACAUAGACUGGAAGUAUAUUCAAGGGUACUUAAUACUGCAGUGGCACAGGACUGGAUUCUCAGAAAACGACCAUGACCGAGAACUGGUUGGUUGCUCCGCCCCUCACGUGGGUUUAAUGGCAGGGAUUUAGCCUCAGAUGCGUAUGCUUAUCUUGAAAUAUACUGAACAGCUUUGGGAAGUGUGCUUAGACUCUGUGCCUUAGUGUUUCUUAGCUAUUAAAUGAAGACAAUAGCGAAACCAAUCUCAUAAUAACUCAGGCAGCAUAUCUGGGAAUAAUGCCUGGCACAUAAUAGGUACUCAGUAAAUACUGGUUGGUAUUAUUUCACAGCAUAGUAAAGAGAAUGGCUCACGGGACAUUUAACUUGGAGGCAUUUUCAGGAUGAAUAAUUCAGGGAUUAAAAUGCGAUGCAUACAAAUGCAUGUAAUGGGUACUACUUUUGUAAAUCAAACAAUAAUAAAAAUCUAAUGUACGUUUCUGCUUAAUAUGUUUGUGACGAUAUAAAAUUAUGAAUGAUAUACAUGAAGCAUGAAAGUUAGGUGUGAGAAAUCAAGAUUGAGGAGUGGAAAAGAGGAAAAGGGAAAGUUGAGAACAAAAUGACCACUAUACUCAUUUACCAACACAUAGCUCUGAUUAAAGUUACAAAAUGUGUGUAUAGCUACACAGUGAUAUCUCUAACCUAUUAAUGGUGGUUGUAUUAGAGGUGUUGAGAUUUCAGGUAUAUUUCUGUCUUUAUACUUCAGUGUAUUUGAAUUUCUGACAAAAAUCUCCUGGUUUAUAUAAUCAAGAAAACCAAUAAAGUGUUUCUACAGUGGGAGAAAAGAAAAAAGCGAUCUCUACUCCUGUAACUCUCUGUUGAAUGAAGGAAGCUUGGAUAGGCCUUUCUUUUGGAAACUUCUGGCCUUUGAAGUUGUCAGAAACAGUUUCAUAAGGAGUACUUGGCCCCGUGGUCUGAGUACAAGCUGAAUUUAUUUUACAGCAAAUCACAUGCCUGCACUCUCAGUCUUCGCCUGUUUUGAAAGGUGAACUCAAAUCUAAGGGAUUAUAUGAACCAGAGAUACUGUAAACACAGAAAAAUAGAUCACAUAAUUCUUGAAAAUGUGAAGGAGGGGCCUAUCUACAGAUAAUCCAGCCACUGGGAGCUGUGUUAGAAAUUUUCAUAAAAUACCACGUAUGCCAAAGCCUUGUUCACAGACCUCCGUUCUCUUUGCAUUCCUUGUAAGAUAAGGCUGGGGGGUGUAGCUCAGUGCUAGUGUGUAUCUGCGGCCCUCGUUAGAUCCCCAGCACCACUGCAACCUGAAGAUAAAAGUGAUGAGGUUGCUCUUCAGAACCUUCUAUACCUUGCUCAGUCUGCCCACCACUGGUUCUGUACACUUUUUUCCUCUUCUUUAGUCAGUGCAGACACCCCAGUGGCCACUAACCACCUCUCUUCACCUUGUUCAUGCCUUUCCCCCUCCUUUCCCUUCCUUGUCCCUGAAGUCUUGGCUCCAGCCCAUGUCCACUGAAAGAAUUUGUGAAAUAUCCUGGUCCUCAGGGACUUCUCACUCCUUACCCUGCUUCUUCUACCAAGUUUGCCACCAGGUGUGUGCAUGCCUCACAGUCUGGAACUUUCUGUGUGCUCCAUGAAAUAAUCACCCGUCUUGAGAUGCCAAUUUUUCUCAAUUUGUCAAUUGGCGAACUCCUUGAACUACUUCAGUUUGGCAAAUUGGAGGAUAAAGUUUGUACCUUUUCUUUCUCUUAUUUCCACACUUCCUAAAAUGUUGCCUGGAUAUGGUUGGCAUGCUGUAAAUAUUUUCUGAUUGGUAGAUAUUUAUAGGUAUUUUCUUGAAAACCCAAGGUAUGUAGUAAUGCUAUAAUUAGAGUGUGUGUAGGAGCUCUUACGUAGAAACCAGUUUAUUUGCAUAUAAGCUUAUCCUAGAUAAGAAUUCCUUGGGUAAAUACAGAAAAUUUCAAGAGCCUUUCAGUUCCUGAAAAAUGUGUGUGCACUCAGUGAUAUGCGUCUCUGUUUGUCAUAGGCAGAGUAAGUGAAAAAUGAAUAUAAAUGGGAGCCAGACAUUUAAAGUUUUGAGAAUUGGAAACUGUGACAUGUUAACAAGGCUACCAAUAGCUAAUCCUUAUGGAUUUUAUUUUGAACUAGUUUGUUUCAAUACUUUACGUAUUUUUACUUAAUCCUUAAAACAACUUGUUGAGAUAGACACGCUUCUUAUUGGCCCUGUUUUAUAGAGGCUGAAAUAUACCUGAGCUAGCUCCUCCUAUACUUCUGAGCUUGUCUAUCAAUCACUUUCCUGUGGCAGAGAUAAAAUAUCCAACACUCACAGCUUAAAGGAGGAGAGGCUUAAUUUGGCUCAUGGUUGUCUCAGUCCAAGGCAGAAAUGUCAUGGCGAAAGGUGAUGGAGAAAGGAAGCUGCUUAACCUGUGACACCAAGAAUAGAGAAAAGAGGGGGCUGGAGUACAAAAAUACAACUUUCUGUCUUUCUGCCCACCCACCAUAGCAGUGUAGCAGUGAUCCACCUUUUCUAAGCAGGUCCCAUCUCUGAGCUCAUGAGACUGGAGGGACACUUUAGAUCUAAACCAUAGCUAUUUCUUUAAGCUAUUUAGUUGAAAUGUGAAUCUUUUUUUAUGAUUUUUGACUUGUAAUUUACCUAUAUGGUUAUAUCUGUACAAAGCACAAAGCUCACACACUCAAGUGCUUUGUAAAUGAGAAGCCUGUGAUUCCUCUCAAAGAUGACGUUUAAAAAAUACUGAUUCUAGGUUAAAGAAAAAUUAGUGCAACUACUCCAAAAAAGAUUUUAAAGGAGAUAGCUUUUUAAAGAGGCUAUUUACUUUUAGUCUGAGAAUUCUAUCACUGCCUUUCUGUGAGAAUGUUUUUAAAAGCCAUUGUAUGCUUCCUAAAAGAAAUUCGAUCUCUUUUAUUAAUAGUUACAUCUGGUUUUAAACCAAAGACAGCUUUGUUAUCUAUCUCAUUCAAAUUGUCUUGGCUGUGUGCAUAAUUUUACUCUGCAAGGCUGAAGAUUUGCUAUUGGCAAAGGGAACUUGAAAUAGUUUUCUAAUGUAUCUAAAGGGUAUUUCAAGAUAGGUUUUCCAAAAAUGUCAACCUCGUGUUACCUAAAUUCUGAAAAGAUCAAGCGAUCAUCCAAGGUCAUACAGUUAUCCCAUCCAGAGGCAGGAUGAGAAUCUUGGGCUUUGAAGUCCAGGCACUGUGAUUGCUGAUAGAGUACACUAGCACAGGAGGUGGUGGUGGUGGGGUGCUUGGGAGCUGCCCCUAGGAAUGAUCUUGAGAAAGGAGAGCUGUCUUUUGAGAGGUGGAGAUGAGGACAUAAAUGGAAGUCUUUCCUUUUUUGAGAACAGCAGGUAAAGUUUCUGAAUGUUGAGAGUUAGAAGACUAAUUGGUGUUUGUAGUCUGCUUAGCUGCUCUGGGUGGGUGAUGGAAGUUGCUGGAUUUAUGUUAUGCUUCUCUAUAAAAAGAGGAAAUAACAAUUUCCUAUGAGCCAGAUUUAUGGAUUUGAAUGCUCAGAAGCUCUGUCCGAGUUUUGCCUGCUAAAUGCUUUAGCAUAAUGCUCAUCAUUACGCUGUCUAACAUGUAAGUACUUACUGUAUGUCAGGAAUUGAUUUGAGUGUCUUACAUGUAUAGCUUCAUCUCAUCCACAUGACAGCCUAUUGAAGUAGUAAGAUUACACAACUUACUCUAAUUUGGCUGAUGUGAAGCUGUUCUUAAGAAACUGGCCUGGCAUUCAAACCCAGGCAAUUUGGCUUCAAAGUCUAAUCAAUUACAAAAAAAUUCUAGCCAGUUUCAAUUAUACACACACAAAAAAGGGUGAAUAGUACAAUGGACAAUAAACUCCAUUUACCCAUUUUCCACCAAAAAUAAGGAAUACUCACCAUCAGUUCUGUUCUAUCUGUAUCUCUCUCUGCUUCCCAGUUUUCCCAGUGCCAUCCCCAGAUUAUUUUCAAGAAAACACAGCCAUCCUAUGAUAACCACAACUAUUUUAGUAAAUAUUAUUGGGGGAAAAGUUUUUUAAAAAGCAUCUUCAGAGCUGAUACAGUGUCUGUUUUUUCCUCCACUUUUUUUUUUUAAACAGUAGCAGGUUUGGUGAUGAUUGUCUAGCUCUGUGAUAUUCUAAUUCUGUUAUUUUCAUCUCAUUUUAUUUGCUGGAAUACUUUAUAGCAACUAUUUGGUUAUCCUGCUGCACAGUUUAUAUAAGGAAGGCCAGGUAGAUGAUUUUUUAAAAAAUAGUUUGAAGGAGUUGACUUCUUAACAUCAGCUGAAGUCAAUCACUUUGUUUCUGUAUGUUGGCUUUAAGAUCCAAUCAAUUUGUCUUUAAAAUGAACUGUCACCUGGUUCCUGGUUCUUUUCUCUCUGGCAUUCUUCCUCUGUGUUUUGUCUCCCACGGUGGUGAAUGAGAAACUUUUCUCAGUCAUGCCUUUCUGCCAUGACGUUUCUACUUUGGAACCAUCUGACCAUGGACUGAAACCUCUGAAACUGUGAGUCAAAAUAAAAUCUUUUCCCUUUGUCGGUGUUAUGUAUUUUGUCCCAGCAACUGGAAACUGACCAAAGCAUUGUCCCAGAUGAUAGGAUUUCCUUCUUUAUAGCCAAAUAAUAGAGCAUUUUGUAUAUGUACCACUUUAAAAAUCCUCCAUCUAUUGGUGGAUACUUAGGUUGACCCUGCAGCUUGCCUAUUGUGCAUAGUACCACAGUGAUCGUGGGAGUAUGGAUAUUUCUUCAAUUCCACGUCUUUUGGAUACUCUCCCACUGUUGGGAUCACUGGAGCAUGAUUUCUAAUUUUUUUCUAUUUCUAAUUUUUCUAUUUCUAUUUCUAUUUCUAUUUCUAAUUUUUUUCAAGCACCUCUCUCCUGACUUCCACAAUGGCUCCACUGAUUUCCAUUCUCACUUAUGACGUAUAAGGUUUUCUUUUCUCCACAGCCUCGCUAGCACUUGAUAUAUGUCAUUUUUUGAUGAUGUCUUUAAUUUUGUUUUAAAGUUAUGUAAAAUAAGUUACUUUCAGAGAAGAUGACCACCUGUUUUCCCUUGUCUCAUAAGUAAUUUUUUUAUUUUAUGAUUUGUUUUUGUAGAAUGAAAAAUGUAUAUGGAUGUAUUUUCCCAACAGCCACACUCUUAGGGUCUCACUAAGUGUUUCAGGCUGGCUUUGAACUCAUUUUGUAACCCAGGAUGACCUCAGACUUGCAGUGACUCUCUUGCUUCAGCUUCCCAAGUGCUGGGAUUAUAGUCACUACCUCUGAAGACCUAAGGAGAGUUGCUUCUUGCUGUACCAUGUUAUACAUACUGCGGUAGGUAUACAGUUCCAUUCUCAUAACACUGCAACAUAGAUAUCAUCACCCUCACCGGAUACUGAGGAAACUGAGGCUUAGACUUCAAGAAAUGUAUCUGAGCCCUCAUAGCUAAUGAGUACGAGUGACAGAAGCAGAAGCCAACCCUGGAAGAUGUGACUUCAUGUAUGGUGCGGUUGUGAAGUUUGCUGAGUGUAAUGAAAUACUUGAGAUAAGUCAACUUAUACAGAGAAAAGGUUUAUUUUGGUUACAGUUUUGGAGGUUCUGGUCCCAUAAGCAUUUGGCCCUGUUGCUUCUGGGCCAGUAGCCAGGCAGCACAUCAUGACAGAAACAUGGGCAAGAGCACGAAGCCACCCAUUGCAAGGCUGGGACAUGAAUGGGAGAGGGAAGAAGGGAGGAGGGACCCAAUCUGGUGCCCAAUAAUUUUCAAAUACAACCCACCUCUUAAAGGUUCUGUCACUUCCCAACAGGUCCAUGGGCUGGGUACCGUGUUUUUAGUACACGGAUCUUUGGAGAGUACCAAACCAAACUAUAGUGCUAAAGCCUCCAGAUUUCCCUACAGAUUUGCCUUGACAUAGAGUUGAGGUUUGAGCUCUGACUCCAGGGCCAUGGUGACUAUUAUACUAUUUUAUUCUAAGAAAUAGAAUGGUAAAGAUGUUCUUACUAUGCAAUACUCAUUGCUGCUCUAGAACUAAUUUUAGCUGAUUUAGUCAAGGAACAAACAUUAAAAAGAUGUUGAGGCUGGGUGAGGUGGCACAUGCCUGUAAUCCCAGUACUCGGGAGAUCGACAUAAGAGAACUGCUGUAAAUUUGAUGCUAGCCCGGGCUCAAAUUAAACCCAGCCUGAACUGCAUAGUGAGACCCUGUCUCAAAACAAAACAAAACAAAACAAAAAAAGAUAGAUAUUAGAAAGCUCACACAGACCUGUGAAUGCACUUCUGGGCUGCCAAUCGCAUGUUCUAAUACCUGACAUGUAUGACAGGAAGCCUUUGAAAUAUCAGCAUGUGACUCUUUUGUAAAAAUGCAUGUGAAUUUUUUAUAAAAAUGCAUGUGACUUUUUUGUAAAAAUGCAUGUGACUUUUUUGUAAGAAUGCAUGUUUUCUGUUACAGUUUUUAUUCAAAGAAAAAUUAUAUACAUAUAUAUAUAUAUAUUUAAAUAUAUAUAUACACAUAUUUCAUUUCUUCCUCUAAAGACCUGGAUCCUGUCUGGGAGCUUUUGCCUUGGCUACAGCUAGACUGGGAUCCAACCUCUCAUGCCUCACAGGAGGCUACAUGGCCUCUGCUGCUUCCCGACUGGGCACUCAGUGUGAAGUCCUGGUCUGGAGCAGGUGAUUUCAUCAACAGAGCAUGGUCCUGUGUCACUCUAAUGCCAGGAUGAUGACUUGGAAAGCAAAUAUCAGGCACUUUUAUCUUCUAUAAUUAGGACAAGUGUUUCAGGGUCUGGGAGGCCAAAGAAUGACUAAUUCCACACUGUUUCUUAGUUCCUGUAUACUCUUUUUUUUUUUUUUUUUUUUUUUUGUUAAGCAAAAUUUGCUCACCCUUGAAGGUUCCAUUUGUAUCUCCUUGCCCUGUGAAGUUUUCAUGGGAGUCCUCCAAUUUUUGGUUUCUCCUCUGAACAUUUCCUACGGCCAAAAUGAGAUGUCAGAACAUAUUUGUAUAUUGGCCUCAGGUCAUUAUACUUGAACCUUAUUGUUCAAGAAUUUUUAUAAUUAAUGUAACACUGGUGCUGCUUUCAAACAGUUAGAAGGGAAGCAGUUUACAAACAGAAAUAAAUCUGAGAGAACAGAUUCUUCUCUUUCUACCCAAAUCCAUUCCCUGGUUCUGCUUUUGGUCUUUAUCUAGUAGUUUGAUUUGGUUUUUACAUUUCAUGUUAUUUUCUUGUCUCUUUAACUAGAAUAAUUACCCGCUGAGGGCAAAAAUCAUACCGAAUACUUAUUCUAUGUUAUUCACCAUAUGGACAGUACAUAUUUAUUGAUUAGCUGAGGACAAAUAUGCCUGAAAAAUCCAACCCUUUAUGACAUAUUUGGAACCUCUGAUCCAAAUAGUUACUCAUUUGAUGUUAGAUUAUGUCAUUUGUAGAAACAGUAAUAAAACAUCUUCUUUUCCUGUAAAAUCUUCCCUUCAAUAGAGAUUGACAACAGAACACUUUAUUAUGGGAUUGAUGAUCCUCUUAGGAAUGUUAGGUUCAAGCUCCCUCAUGGUAAAGCAUCCUUUAUACAUGUCUACAAACAAAGGUUGACUGCAUAAUCCUUUAAUAUGCUUUUCACAGGCUGAGUUCAGUGUAGUCUGCCGCACAUUUUCACUGCUGAACAGCUUACCUGGUAGAGAUCACACCAGGCCUAAUAACUGAUAUGUAUAACGGAAGUCAUUUGAAAGACCAGUACUAUAUAUGAUUAAUACAUGCAAAAAUGCAUGUAGUGCCUAUUUUGAUUAUGGUUUUCUUUCAAAGAAAAAUUUAAUGAUAAAUCUUUUUUUUCAGUGAUAUGGGGAAUGUUCAUGUCUUCUAGAUCAAGUCUCUCUAUGUAAUGUAGUUAAGUGAUGUCCAAAUCCCCAUGUGAUGUACUCAUGGGGGGGCUAUAGCUGAUAUAAAGUCAUCUCAUUUGAAGAUAUAAAGCUACUAAUCUACAUUAUUUAUAGAUUUAAAGCCUCAAAAGCUGUUUUCAAAUGAACUACUCUCUUCUCUUUUUCAUUUUGCAAUAUUUCUUGGAUUGGGAAAAUAUUUGCAAUUUACAUAUUCGGUAAAGGGCAUAGUUGGGGGGGUAUCCUUGAUAUCAAUAACAAGAAAACUAUCCCCCCAAAUGAAUGAAAUAUUUAAAUACACAAUUUACCAACAACAUAGAGUUGGUCAAGAAACCCAAUAAAAUACACUUAAAAUUAUUUAGUCUCUAGGGAACGCAUAUUUAAACCACAGUGAGAUACCAAUAUACACUAAGAAUGGCUGAAAAAAAAAAGAAACUGAAAGUAGGUAGUGUGGCUAAGAAUAUAGAGAAACUGGAAUUCAUGCAAAGUUGGUGAAAAUGAGAAAUGGAAUAGCCUCUUGGGCAGUUUCAGUUUCUAAUCAAGUGAAAUGUGUGCUUUCCUUAGGAUGUAACAAUUAGAUUCGUAGUUAUCUAUCCAAAGGAAAUAAAAAC